GGAGCGUAGAGCUCAGGUGGUAGAGCACAUGCUUAGUGUGCACAAGAUCCUGGGUUCAAUCCCCAGUGCCUCUU
Molecule: non-coding RNA, 74 nt
Organism: Camelus ferus (Wild Bactrian camel)
Lineage: Eukaryota; Metazoa; Chordata; Mammalia; Artiodactyla; Camelidae
Source: Rfam